This 22-nucleotide microRNA is filed under the name Picea abies (Norway spruce). RNAcentral describes it as "pab-miR11550". The record is from miRBase by way of RNAcentral. Lineage: Eukaryota; Viridiplantae; Streptophyta; Pinopsida; Pinales; Pinaceae.
UGUGGCGAACAAGUAACUCAUU